RNAcentral lists this small RNA (859 nucleotides) under Pongo abelii (Sumatran orangutan). RNAcentral describes it as "processed transcript". Lineage: Eukaryota; Metazoa; Chordata; Mammalia; Primates; Hominidae. The record is from RNAcentral.
GAGACUCCCUGUCCCGGACCGCAGUCAAAGCACUUAAACACACGUAGUCUCUCUGUAAGAAAGUGUUAAAAGGAUCUGAACAAAGUCUGCUCAAAUCUCCUGCUGUGAACCAGCAGAAUUUUUGAACAGAGACCACGUCUCCAACUCCUGGGCUCCAACGAUUCUCCCAUCUCGGCCUCCCAAAGCGCUGGAGUUACAGGUUUCUUCACAUAUAAAAAUCUAUUGUAAAAAUACGGAAAAGAAUGGCAGCGGAAACGCAGACACUGAACUUUGGGCCUGAAUGAUAUGUUUGGACCCCGAAUAUGGAAUUCUCAUGGAAUUUUGAGAUCCAUCACAUUGUAGUGUGGCUUCCCCCCCCCCCUUCCUUUUUCCCCAAAGUUGGUGAUUGAAGAACCUCUCUUCAGUGGCAUCAAUAAUAAUAAUUACUUUUUCUAUUCAAACCUCGGGCAACCCCUUUGGUAAUAUCAGAAGCAGUAUCUAAAAUAGAUAAAUUGGAUUUGUGUCUUAAACUCUUGGUUGUUCAGGUGGGAGUGGUUCAAUAAAUGAUGCAGACUUCCCGUAGUAACUCUAUUUGAGGAGUCUUAUUAACUUACCCUAUUAGAAAUAUUUCUUUUUAUUAAUAUAUGUAAUCUGGAAGUUUUCUUAACCUUUAUAGCCAGCAUUUGGAGACUGAGGAGAAAUCACUAUUUGAAGUUCUAAGAACUGAUGGAACUCCUGUAUUUUGAGAGUUUAUUUAGAACAUGUUAACCUAAGUAAUGCUGUACUUGUUUUAGUUAUUCCUUUAUAUUUUUUAAAUGAUUUUCUUAUUAUCAAAUUAAUAUGUUUCUAAAAAAAUUAGAAAUUACUAGUAAGCCAGAAA